GGCCGUCCAUGUUUAUACCGUUGAAACGAAGAAGAAGAAAACGGAUAAAAAUAAAGUUUGAAACGUUCCUGGGGGAAGAUGACGUGUCAGAAUAUAAUUGGGUAACAAAGCUGCCGUUGAUGGAGAAAGUAAAAAUUGCCAAGUCAGCAAGGAGUUCGCACAUGCCUCCGUGACUUUUCCAAUCUUUUCUUUCUCUUCCCACCCUAACACGCCAC
This 215-nucleotide long non-coding RNA is filed under the name Capsella rubella. RNAcentral describes it as "long non-coding RNA (CRUB_LNC003965)". The record is from RNAcentral. Lineage: Eukaryota; Viridiplantae; Streptophyta; Magnoliopsida; Brassicales; Brassicaceae.